This is a long non-coding RNA of Cyanistes caeruleus (blue tit), 1882 nucleotides long. RefSeq lists it as uncharacterized. The record is from RefSeq and is a predicted model, not a curated record. Lineage: Eukaryota; Metazoa; Chordata; Aves; Passeriformes; Paridae.
GGGAGAGGUUAACAAAGACUUCUUGUAUAUUGAAAGCCUUUUUCUGGCAUUAGAAGCAGGGCUUUGGUAUUAGAUAUUGCCUUACCAAUUCUCUAAUUACUGCCCAGACUUUUUUGGGAUGUUUAAAAGACAGCCAGAUCUGAAGACAGCAAGAAAUAGUGAGCAAAGUGCAGUAGAGGACUGAGAAGAGUGUUUCUUUCCAUAAAUUAACUUUGGAUCCCAGAUAUGAAGCCUGGACAGAGAAAAGAUAAUUUUCGUGCAUCUCCUGGUGUUUCAUAUCAUUUAUUGAAGCUCAUCUGAUACAGCCGAAGCUUGUUCCAAUAUUGAUCUUUGACAUCUGAAGAGAAUUCCCCAAAGAGUCCUUCUGGAUGGGAAAUGCAGCUUGAGCAGAACCAGAUUCCAUCUGGAGAGGGGACAUUGAGGUACCAGGACACCGAUUAUUUGGAAGCAAACUCACAUGUUCUAUGUCAGAACCAUCAUCCUUGCAAAUGGCUCAGGAAACAGCCAGUGAGAUGGGCAGCCUUUUCUGCAUUUGCAAGUAAAACCUGGAGCUCCUCUGUAUGAAUCAGAGCAGUCAGAGAGAAACCAUCAACUAAAUCUGAGAAUGAACUGAGGAUCAGAGAGGCUCCCCUCAUGACUUCUGUUCAGCAGCUCUGUAUAUUGUUUUAAACGACCCUUAUGCAAGAAGUAUGUUGCCUUCUGAAAGAGGAGAUUGUUUUACUUACUUGUUGUGGGAAGGUCUUCAAAUUACAGCCCUUCCUGCUUAUAUUAUGGCAUUCUAGGGUUCAUCCUGCUCCAGUUUCCCUGUGCUGUAUGUGAUGCAGGAUCCAUGGCAGAUAAAUCUACAGCCAAAGCCUGUUGUUACAAGAGAAGCCUCUUGCCAGAGAGCCUGAGUUAUUUCAGAGAUUUUCAUUACAGAUUAAUGCAGUUAAUACUCUUGUGUGCUCUGGAAAGUGUGUGGGAGACAGGUCAGAGUGUCCUGGAGCACAAAGUCACCGUGUGGCUCCAAAGCAGGGACAACAUUGAAUGGAGACUGCGGUGACAGGGGACAGCUCCAAACCAGUGCUGGACAAAACACUCUUACCCACAUUCUGCCUGGAAGUUCUGGCUAAUUCCACUAUCACAAAGUGAGCCACUUUCCAGGGAGAUUAAGGGGAAAUAGGUAAAUUCAAUCGAGGAAGUGGGCUGGUCCCUUUGGAAACUAUGACAGUAAUCUUGACCAGGAUGAAACAUUUCUGUCUUGAAAUUCCCAUUCAUGGGUCUUCCAGUCCUGACUGCACAUGUCCUUGUUCCCAUCAGUGGCCAGGUUGCUUGGGUGGAUUCCCAACCAUUCCUGUCACUGGUGUAUCACACUUUUCACUGCUUGGAGAGAUCACAAUGUGUCAGAGGAAAUGUAGUUCACUCCUCACUCAUUGCGAAAACAGGGAUGUGAUGCAGAGCUGCAUCUCCCAUGAGGCAAGAGCGGCACUUGGGCUUUGAAACAUUUUAGUUUUGCCUCAAAAAAAUGCUGUUUUGAGAAGAAGAAGUUUCUGACUCACUUUCUAACAUAAAGGUUCUUGAUCUCAGCAAGGUGGGGGAGUUCAUACAAGCAUAAUUUCACAGAGCUCUGAUUGUCCAAGAAGUAACAGAUAGAAAUUAUUCAUAGCCAAGAGCAGUCUUGAGAAAGCAUUGCAAGGAAUAUGAGGUUGGAGCUUUUCAAAUCCCCUGGAAUCACCUCCUUUCCUGAAGAGCACAGGGAGAGCCUGGUGAUCCUAGGUUGAGGGGCAGAGGAGGUGGGUGCUUCAUAUCCUGAGUCUGGUUUGAGGUUGACUGGCAGCAUCUUUCAGAGGAUAAAGGCUUUUGCGUGCCUGCUUUGACUGCUUUGAUGCACAAACACAAAAUA